This 423-nucleotide ribosomal RNA is filed under the name uncultured bacterium. Its description in RNAcentral is "bacterial SSU rRNA". It matches the Rfam family "Bacterial small subunit ribosomal RNA", at positions 356 to 772 of the family's 1533-position model. The record is from RNAcentral.
GGGGAAUAUUGGACAAUGGGCGAAAGCCUGAUCCAGCGACGCCGCGUGGGUGAAGAAGGCCUUCGGGUUGUAAAGCCCUUUAAGCCGGGACGAAAAAGCUACACCUAACACGUGUGGCUUUGAAGGUACCCGGUGAAUAAGCCACGGCUAACUACGUCCCAGCAGCCGCGGUAAAACGUAGGGGACGAGCGUUAUCCGGAUUUACUGGGCGUAAAGCGCAUGUAGGUGGCGCGGAAAGUUGGACGUGAAAGCUCCCGGCUUAACUGGGAGAGGUCGUACAAAACUACCGAGAUUGAGGUUGGAAGAGGAGAGCGGAAUUCCCGGUGUAGUGGUGGAAUGCGUAGAUAUCGGGAGGAACACCAGUGGCGAAAGCGGCUCUCUGGUUCAAUACUGACACUGAGAUGCGAAAGCGUGGGGAGCGAA